This 82-nucleotide non-coding RNA is filed under the name Candidatus Kentrum sp. FW. The record is from RNAcentral. Lineage: Bacteria; Pseudomonadati; Pseudomonadota; Gammaproteobacteria.
CUUUAUGGCGAUCUGUAUGGGCAACCUUCGGGUUGGCCGUUAGUUCCUGCGGUAUUCCUACCCCGUACAGAUCGCCCCCCUA